Molecule: transfer RNA, 70 nt
Filed under: Citrobacter freundii
Lineage: Bacteria; Pseudomonadati; Pseudomonadota; Gammaproteobacteria; Enterobacterales; Enterobacteriaceae
Also listed under: 4 other names
Description: tRNA-Phe
Source: RNAcentral
GACGGUAAGGACGAUCUGGUGAAGUCAUCCUCAAAGUGGACAUAGGCGGGUUCGAUUCUCGCUACCGACG